CCUACGGGGGGCUGCAGUGAGGAAUAUUGGUCAAUGGGCGAGAGCCUGAACCAGCCAUGUCGCGUGCAGGAAGACGGCUCUAUGGGUUGUAAACUGCUUUUGUACGGGAAGAAAAAAGAUUACGUGUAAUCUAUCGACGGUACCGUACGAAUAAGGAUCGGCUAACUCCGUGCCAGCAGCCGCGGUAAUACGGAGGAUCCGAGCGUUAUCCGGAUUUAUUGGGUUUAAAGGGUGCGCAGGCGGGCUUAUAAGUCAGUGGUGAAAUCUUGCCGCUU
This 275-nucleotide ribosomal RNA is filed under the name uncultured bacterium. Its description in RNAcentral is "partial 16S ribosomal RNA". It matches the Rfam family "Bacterial small subunit ribosomal RNA", at positions 338 to 610 of the family's 1533-position model. The record is from RNAcentral.